Molecule: non-coding RNA, 623 nt
Organism: Pelobates cultripes (western spadefoot toad)
Lineage: Eukaryota; Metazoa; Chordata; Amphibia; Anura; Pelobatidae
Source: the annotation of a GenBank genome assembly
CAGAGCUGUGUAUCCAUAGGGGAGACAGUCAUUCCCCCCCUCCAGCAGCAGAGCUGUGUAUCCAAAGGGGAGACAGUCGGUCUCCCCUUCCAACAACCAGGCUACUUCCGUGGUAGCGCUGGCACCAGGGCAGAGUACCGCUGGUCUCUGCCCACUCAGCAACCCACCAAGGCAGCUUACCAGUACCCAGCACAGCCAUGGUGAGGCACCUGGACAUGGACAAGUUUCUCCUCUACCCAGAUGUAGUAACCAGUUAUUGUGGGUGGGCUGUACUGCUGAUUGUGUUUUGUGGGUGGGCUGCUGGACUAACCAGGGCACUGAUCAGCAGGAGGUCAGAUACCCUGUUAGUCUGUUUGGAAAAGGGGAGAGAUGUGACAAGACCAAUCUCGCCACUGUGCAUUGGAGGAGCCUGGUUGCCCGCCUGCUGCCUUUAGACUAUGGCCCCAUGUUGAAACGCUUGAUUUUCCCCUGCAAAGACAUGAAAGCUGGGUCAUUCGGUGCUUGCCCUGUUUGAGCGGUGAUACCCCAGGUAGCUAUGGCAUUGAGCCCAUUCGUAUAAUGAAAGACUAUGAGAAAGACUUUGGUUCCAUGGCAAUUGAACUGUAUGUGUAUGUUCUGAGCGC